RNAcentral lists this ribosomal RNA (300 nucleotides) under Bifidobacterium breve. RNAcentral's name for it is "bacterial SSU rRNA". It matches the Rfam family "Bacterial small subunit ribosomal RNA", at positions 739 to 1037 of the family's 1533-position model. The record is from RNAcentral. Lineage: Bacteria; Bacillati; Actinomycetota; Actinomycetes; Bifidobacteriales; Bifidobacteriaceae.
ACUGACGCUGAGGAGCGAAAGCGUGGGGAGCGAACAGGAUUAGAUACCCUGGUAGUCCACGCCGUAAACGGUGGAUGCUGGAUGUGGGGCCCGUUCCACGGGUUCCGUGUCGGAGCUAACGCGUUAAGCAUCCCGCCUGGGGAGUACGGCCGCAAGGCUAAAACUCAAAGAAAUUGACGGGGGCCCGCACAAGCGGCGGAGCAUGCGGAUUAAUUCGAUGCAACGCGAAGAACCUUACCUGGGCUUGACAUGUUCCCGACGAUCCCAGAGAUGGGGUUUCCCUUCGGGGCGGGUUCACAG